GGAAAUUGAAUUCGAACGAGGAAUCUAGGGAAUGAUUCAAAAGGAUUUAUGAGACGAAUGUUAGUAAGAAAUGUCAGAUGCAGAACUCAUCAACGAGGACGAAGCUACGAACCUGAAGAAUUGUUUUUUCUUUCUUUUUUUGCACUUAUCGGAGCUAACUAGAAAUUUCGGACUUCUUUGUUACUUUUUGUUUUGACUUUUGACUUUUGAGGCGAUGUUGGGUAGAACUCGG
RNAcentral lists this long non-coding RNA (232 nucleotides) under Capsella rubella. Its description in RNAcentral is "long non-coding RNA (CRUB_LNC003443)". Lineage: Eukaryota; Viridiplantae; Streptophyta; Magnoliopsida; Brassicales; Brassicaceae. The record is from RNAcentral.